This 253-nucleotide ribosomal RNA is filed under the name uncultured bacterium. Its description in RNAcentral is "partial 16S ribosomal RNA". It matches the Rfam family "Bacterial small subunit ribosomal RNA", at positions 524 to 776 of the family's 1533-position model. The record is from RNAcentral.
UACGUAGGGUGCAAGCGUUAAUCGGAAUUACUGGGCGUAAAGCGUGCGCAGGCGGUUAUGCAAGACAGAUGUGAAAUCCCCGGGCUCAACCUGGGAACUGCAUUUGUGACUGCAUGGCUAGAGUACGGUAGAGGGGGAUGGAAUUCCGCGUGUAGCAGUGAAAUGCGUAGAUAUGCGGAGGAACACCAGUGGCGAAGGCGACUUCCUGGACCUGUUCUGACGCUGAGGAGCGAAAGCGUGGGGAGCGAUCCGG